Molecule: ribosomal RNA, 441 nt
Filed under: uncultured bacterium
Lineage: Bacteria
Description: partial 16S ribosomal RNA
Rfam family: Bacterial small subunit ribosomal RNA
Source: RNAcentral
CCUACGGGAGGCAGCAGUGGGGAAUAUUGGGCAAUGGAGGAAACUCUGACCCAGCAACGCCGCGUGAAGGAUGAAUGUUUUCUGAUUGUAAACUUCUUUCGCGAGGGAUGAAGAAUGACGGUACCUCGUAAGAAAGCACCGGCAAACUACGUGCCAGCAGCCGCGGUAAUACGUAGGGGGCGAGCGUUGUCCGGAAGGACUGGGCGUAAAGGGAGUGUAGGCGGCAUAUAAAGUUAUGUGGUAAAGCCCGGGGGCUAAACCGCGAAUUGCACAUAAAACUGGUAAGCGUGAGUGCACGAGAGGUAAGCGGAAUGCCCGGUGUAGCGGUGGAAUGCGUAGAUAUCGGGAGGAACACCAGAGGCGAAGGCGACUUACUGGACUGUAACUGACGCUGAGGCUCGAAAGCGUGGGGAGCAAACAGGAUUAGAUACCCGUGUAGUC